UUUGAUUGUUUUCACCUGUGUCUCGUUGUCUCCCUCACCAAGUGUAUUUCAUCAGAGUUUUUCCUUUGUUCAUUUUGUUGUUGCAUCUCUGUUAAGCAGCCUAGUUUGUUGUUCUGUGGAUUCUUUGUUUCCCAGUACCUUGCCUGUAUGUGGAUUUUCCUGCUCACCAUUGGACUUGUUUUUUGGUUUUGACGGCUUACCUGCUGUGAGCUACUGUUUGCCUGCCUACUCCUAUAACUGCUCAAGCUCUGUCAGGUUGCAUGGGGAUCAUUGGUGAACAGCCUUUUUCAAGUCCAACCACAAAUUAUUGAUUGGAUUGAGAUCUGGACUCUGCUGGAAAACAAAUCUUCUCCCAAGUGGCAGGUUUCUUGCAGACUGCAGCAAAAUACAGGCACAAGGAAUUCACAGGAAACGAUGCAUGCGUGAACUGGAUGUGAUGCAGAAGACUGGAUCAUGAGUUUAGUAUAAACGUCUUCCUUAUUACAACGAACAUGACGUGGUGGACCUCUCAGUUCAAGGUUCGCCUCUUGUCUGAAGAUUCCUGUCAUCUGCUCUGCUCUCCGCCACGGCAAACAAUUCCUGGAGUCCACGUGUCUGUCUUCAUUGUCUGCCAGCCUCUCCACCACGCUAGACAACUCCUCGAGUUACAGAACAGCUCUCACCACCUGCUUGGCUUCUCCACUCAGCUCGACUGCCGGAUCA
Siniperca chuatsi (mandarin fish) is the source of this 702-nucleotide long non-coding RNA. RefSeq lists it as uncharacterized. The record is from RefSeq and is a predicted model, not a curated record. The transcript has 4 exons. Lineage: Eukaryota; Metazoa; Chordata; Actinopteri; Centrarchiformes; Sinipercidae.